Molecule: ribosomal RNA, 393 nt
Filed under: uncultured bacterium
Lineage: Bacteria
Description: partial 16S ribosomal RNA
Rfam family: Bacterial small subunit ribosomal RNA
Source: RNAcentral
AUACGGAGGAUGCAAGCGUUAUCCGGAUUUAUUGGGUUUAAAGGGUGCGUAGGCGGUUUGCUAAGCGGGAGGUGAAAUGCCGGCGCUCAACGUCGGAAGUGCCUCCCGAACUGGUGGACUUGAAUGACUCUGCCGUGGGAGGAAUGUGUAGUGUAGCGGUGAAAUGCUUAGAGAUUACACAGAACACCGAUUGCGAAGGCAUCUCACGAAGGGUUGAUUGACGCUGAGGCACGAAAGCGUGGGGACCAAACAGGAUUAGAUACCCUGGCAGUCCACGCAGUAAACGAUGAUGGCUAACCGCUGGGCUUAUCAGUUCAGUGGCCAAGCGAAAGCGAUAAGCCAUCCACCUGGGGAGUACGACCGCAAGGUUGAAACUCAAAUGAAUUGACGGGG